Molecule: non-coding RNA, 744 nt
Organism: Triticum urartu
Lineage: Eukaryota; Viridiplantae; Streptophyta; Magnoliopsida; Poales; Poaceae
Source: RefSeq, a predicted model, not a curated record
CACAAUCUCCUUUGCCUUCGGGCAAGAGUGAUCGUAAAACUGUGGGAACAAGCCGUACCAUGGGUUGGCACGUACGACACCAGCAAGGAGGGGACAGACAAGGCAUAGCACCAGCAGGCAACUCAUGGAAGUCGCCAUGGAUGUUUUUUUAUAUUGGUCAUCAUGGGAACAGGGAUUCGUAUCCCAUGCCUUUGUGGAUAAAAGUAUGCCGCUACAGCAGCGUGGUGCCUUAAAAGAAAUACAGGUUUUCUAGAUGAAGGGUCAAAGGGGAUGUGCGAUAUUGCACCAACUUUGGAGGCACAGGAUGCGUGAUGAAUCUGCGUUAGGUACUUGCAUGGCCUACAUUGAUUGAUGCCGGGAGCAGGUUCCUGGAAGUACUUUCAACUGUUCCUAAGUUUUGUCACUGGGCCCAGCAGCCUUGUUUCUCUGCACAGCACAUAGCAGUGGCCGUUUCUUGAAGAAAACAACAGCGUGGUUGUUACUGCCAGAGAGUCAGAGUUUCAGGGACUUUGCAUAUGACUUGCAGGUAUGCUUAUGCUACGUGUGUGUGUGGGAACCGUUUUCUGGUUUAGAAAGAAAAGUACACAAAUGUGGAGACCAAUUUGUGACCUAGCACUGUCAUAUAUUCUUUCUUCUUUUUUUUUUCUUUUCUUUUUUGCAAAUUAAUAUCCUAGCUAAACUAACACAGACAGAAUGAGCAUAAAGAAAAUUCAUAUGAGCUAGGAGUUUUUAAGUUCAUAUCUA